Molecule: ribosomal RNA, 253 nt
Filed under: uncultured bacterium
Lineage: Bacteria
Description: partial 16S ribosomal RNA
Rfam family: Bacterial small subunit ribosomal RNA
Source: RNAcentral
UACGAAGGGGGCUAGCGUUGCUCGGAAUUACUGGGCGUAAAGGGCGCGUAGGCGGAUGUUUAAGUCGGGGGUGAAAGCCCGGGGCUCAACCUCGGAAUUGCCUUCGAUACUGGACAUCUUGAGUACGGGAGAGGUGAGUGGAACUCCGAGUGUAGAGGUGAAAUUCGUAGAUAUUCGGGAAGAACACCAGUGGCGAAGGCGACUCACUGGCCCGUUACUGACGCUGAGGCGCGAAAGCGUGGGGAGCGAACGG